GAUGAACGCUGGCGGCGUGCCUAAUACAUGCAAGUCGAGCGAACGGACGAGAAGCUUGCUUCUCUGAUGUUAGCGGCGGACGGGUGAGUAACACGUGGAUAACCUACCUAUAAGACUGGGAUAACUUCGGGAAACCGGAGCUAAUACCGGAUAAUAUUUUGAACCGCAUGGUUCAAAAGUGAAAGACGGUCUUGCUGUCACUUAUAGAUGGAUCCGCGCUGCAUUAGCUAGUUGGUAAGGUAACGGCUUACCAAGGCAACGAUGCAUAGCCGACCUGAGAGGGUGAUCGGCCACACUGGAACUGAGACACGGUCCAGACUCCUACGGGAGGCAGCAGUAGGGAAUCUUCCGCAAUGGGCGAAAGCCUGACGGAGCAACGCCGCGUGAGUGAUGAAGGUCUUCGAAUCGUAAAACUCUGUUAUUAGGGAAGAACAAAUGUGUAAGUAACUAUGCACGUCUUGACGGUACCUAAUCAGAAAGCCACGGCUAACUACGUG
Molecule: ribosomal RNA, 497 nt
Filed under: uncultured bacterium
Lineage: Bacteria
Description: partial 16S ribosomal RNA
Rfam family: Bacterial small subunit ribosomal RNA
Source: RNAcentral